Molecule: long non-coding RNA, 943 nt
Organism: Pocillopora damicornis (cauliflower coral)
Lineage: Eukaryota; Metazoa; Cnidaria; Anthozoa; Scleractinia; Pocilloporidae
Source: RefSeq, a predicted model, not a curated record
AAAAUCUGUUUUAGAAAUACAAAAAGGAAGACCAAAUAUAAUUCAAGGGGAUACUGCUGAGCAGCGCGCCAGGGAGUCUCGCAAAUCAACUUCUUUCCCUUUCUCAAAAUAAAUUAACUCAGAUGUUAAACUCAUUUAAACAAAAAAUCUCCACUGCGGCUUUUUAAUGGUCUUUCCAGUCGAGGUUUUGUUUUGGAUACUUAUAGUUCAAAAUACAGACUCUGUAGGAAUGCUUGCGCGCAUCGGAGUUGUUUGGGAUCUUCACGCAGUGAAGCUAAGAGCCAUUAUGUUUAGUUAGUAGUCAUGCAAAGAGUCAGGAAGAGGGAGCAGCAAUGCAUUGGUCUGUUUAGAGUUAAAAGGAAGCCGCCAUGAUACGCGGCAGAGCAAGAGUCAUUGAUGAAGUUCGAAGGCCGAACUCCGAGCGCUAAGAUAUCGUUCACAAGCUCGAUGAAACGGGACAUUUUCAGACGUGCGAAACUUUGAUACCUCCUUGCAACACUUUGACCCGCGAGAAACAAAGCCCAGGAACGGCAAAACAGUUUGACACAGUUGUAUGCACUCAAAACUACAAAGAAACCGCCGAAACCCUGCACAGCUUCCCAUCAUAUGGAAAUAUUUAUCCGCGGAACGAGUAAAGGACAGAAAGGAGCUGCACGUCACGUACUAACGUUCAAGUGACAAGAAAAAUACUCUCCUUUCUCUUUGUAAAAACACAAGUCCAAUUAGGAAUUACAGCAAUAAGCGACGUGACUACGUGUACAAAAUAGAGACAACUUUAGUUUUAUUUCAAGAGGGAUAUCUUAUGACCGGACAUCGUCUGAAACAGUACUCUUGAAAACACUUGAUAUGACUGUUAAUGGCAUUAUAAAAACCUUGAAGACAGUUUCGAAUUAUGCCGACGUCUGUAUGUGUGUACGGUUCGAAAUAAAUUGAAUUCACUUUA